ACAUUUCGACACUUCUGGCAGUGGCCGUCAGCAUCUUCCGUUAGGAAACCGUUGGAACACAGGCGAAAUAAACCAUCAGUCACUUUCCGAUCUCGGCGUGUCAUUCAAGGUUUGCCAGUCAGGGCUAUAUAAUAUCAAUAAUAAUAUUAGAUUAACAAUAGUAAAUAGUAUAUGUAGUCCACUCCAGUCCUCUGAAGAUCAUGACAAGUCGCCUGGUCCAACAUGGCGGCGACGUUGACGUACGCUCAGUUGCAAGGUAUUUGAAAACGACCGGUUUGGACAACAAAACUGUAGCCUGAGAAUAAACCCCCGACUCAAAGGAUGUCAACUGCACUAAAAAGUGCACAAAGAAGAAGAACAAUUUCAGUUUAUUUUUCGCUUCACGUGUGCGCGCUCCCGCGAGGGGCGGGUAAAACUCGGCAAAGCUCUGCAGGAACAAGAGGGAAGUGUGGAUCGGCUGUGGAUCGAGACGUCGGAGAAGUGAAGAUUUGUCCGGUCAGAAGAAGCUGCUCUGCUCUCUGAAGGUCUGCUGUCUGUCGUCCACAUCACCGAUGAUUGAAUGAGUUUGAGAGAUCGCUGGAGAUCACAGACACUCACGUCCCUCAUCUCUCUGUCUUCUGCCUUGAGUAGGGGAUGGCGUUUUUAUGGAGGUGGUUUAACAACUUGAUGCAAAUUCGUGGCCAAGUUUUGUUGUUCCUCCGACCACCAAACCCCAAAACACAGAGGCAAAAACUGAAUGUGUUUCUCCUGCCAAACAACGUCCCUCUGGAAGAGGUGAAAAUAAAACAAAUGCAUUCUGUGUUCAUCGAAACGUCUUCUGGAUGCAGACUCAUCAGUCAGCAAAGUUACAGUGUUCACUGUCCGGAGGCCUAUGAAAUCCAGCCUCAUAUAGCAGAGUGCAACUUGGAUUAUGGACCAAAUUACCAUCCAACUUUUGAGAUCUUCCUGCCUGCAAACAUAGAAGAGGUGACUAUAACGCUCCAAGACCCAGGAAAUGCAGAUGUCUGGAAGCGUCGUGUUAAGCUGACUGGUUAAGCCUUCAUGCACCUGAACCAUGACUCCACCAGAAAGUAGAACAGAAAAUAACAGAAUAUAGUAAUAGUUAUUGAUUGAUCCAUGGUGCAUUUGUUCUUGUUCUGCCUUAGAUUAUCUUCAUGAGGGAUGGGAAUCGAGAACCAGAUCCAAAUUGUCCAAACCAUUGGAAUUGUAUGCCCCCCAAGUUUAUCAAUUCCUGGUAGGAAUUGAUAAGCACAAGUGAAAUAGUACAAAGAAACUAAGGAAAAUCAAAGGCCAAAACUGGGCUCCAAGACUGUGCCGGACUGACUGUAGCAAUAUAUCCCCAUGCAGACUGAUUUGUAACAGCAGGCACACUAACAAUUAUGCAGACAUAUGUCAUGUAACUAUUACCAUCUGAGUUCAUGCCUCAUCAGCAUGUUAUGAGUUUGUUGGUAGUCAUGUAAGGGAGGAAAAACUGACAGGAUUAUUGGUUUAGAAUAUAAUCCUUCUAGGAAAUCUGUGUUGUAUUGGAUUGUUCUUAUGGGGAAAAUAAUAUUUGGAAUUAAAAACAGCCAUAACCCAGUCCAGUCCGGUCCUAUGUGAAGGAAACAGCGGCCGAGAGAAGCAGACUUACCUGCAGUUCUGGAAUUGCAGGUGAACCUGGUUAAGCCACUGCCAAGGAAUGCAGUUCUGUCAGGGUUUUGAGUGAAAAUAAACCAAGCGCUCCUUGCUCCUCCCCUUAAAGACCCACCCCCACCUCUACGCCAAAGCGGUGAGAGAAAGUUGAAACUGAAAAAAUAGUGACAGUGCCAGUAAAACAUUUUCCAAUACAACUUUUUCAAUGCCGUUUCCUCUUUCAGCUCAGGUUUUGUUUUCAAUGUCAAAAUGUUACUGUCACUGUUCAAGCCCCUUAUUUUCUCCAGACACAAGUGUGUACCUCUGCAUCUGUGGGAUUGUCCUCAUAGAAUCUGCCACCACAUAACAACUGGGACAUAAAGUAUCUGGUACACACUUGUGUGUGAGGGCUCGAGGCAACUCAGUUUGAUUGUAUUCUGUGUUGGCACAAAUAAAUCUACAUGAAUAACUUCA
Molecule: long non-coding RNA, 2085 nt
Organism: Seriola aureovittata
Lineage: Eukaryota; Metazoa; Chordata; Actinopteri; Carangiformes; Carangidae
Exons: 4
Source: RefSeq, a predicted model, not a curated record